UACGUAGGGGGCAAGCGUUGUCCGGAAUUAUUGGGCGUAAAGAGCGCGUAGGCGGUCCGGUAAGUCGGUUGUGAAAGUCGGGGGCUCAACCCUCGGAUGCCGAUCGAUACUGUCGGGCUAGAGUCCGGAAGAGGCGAGUGGAAUUCCUGGUGUAGCGGUGAAAUGCGCAGAUAUCAGGAGGAACACCAAUGGCGAAGGCGGUUCUCUGGGCCGAUACUGACGCUGAGGAGCGAAAGCGUGGGGAGCGAACAGG
Molecule: ribosomal RNA, 253 nt
Filed under: uncultured bacterium
Lineage: Bacteria
Description: partial 16S ribosomal RNA
Rfam family: Bacterial small subunit ribosomal RNA
Source: RNAcentral